CUGUAGACACGUAGUUGAUCAGUCGGCUCGAAGGACGACGCUGGCGGCGUGCCUAACACAUGCAAGUCGAACGAAGCUCCCCGAUACAAGGCUUCGGCCAAGUUGAAGGGAUGACUUAGUGGCGGACGGGUGAGUAACGCGUGAGGAACCUGCCUUUCAGUGGGGAAUAACACACCGAAAGGUGUACUAAUACCGCAUAAGACCACGGGAUCACAUGGUUCUGGGGGUAAAAGAUUUUAUCGGUUUGGGGUGGGCUCGCGUCCGAUUAGGUAGUUGGUGAGGUAACGGCCCACCAAGCCGACGAUCGGUAGCCGACCUGAGAGGGUGAUCGGCCACAUUGGGACUGAGACACGGCCCAAACUCCUACGGGAGGCAGCAGUGGGGAAUAUUGCACAAUGGGGGAAACCCUGAUGCAGCGACGCCGCGUGAGUGAUGAAGUAUUUCGGUAUGUAAAACUCUAUCAGCAGGGAAGAUAAUGACGGUACCUGACUAAGAAGCACCGGCUAAAUACGUG
This 514-nucleotide ribosomal RNA is filed under the name uncultured bacterium. RNAcentral's name for it is "bacterial SSU rRNA". It matches the Rfam family "Bacterial small subunit ribosomal RNA", at positions 1 to 507 of the family's 1533-position model. The record is from RNAcentral.